CGACGCUUGUGUUCUUGAUCCUGUGUGCACGUGUAUAACAUCGGGGUCCCAAGUGGAUUUCGAUGGAUGUCAGUGCCUUUGCCCAGCUACAGGACUUCUUGUCGAUGGUCACUGCGCAGUUGGUGCCUGUGCAUUGAUAAGCUGAAGCUGCAUACAGAAGAAGCACUGCAGACUCAGGACAUCAUCAAAAACAGAAAAAGGAGUGGAAAAGAAGCAUUGCUGCAAACUCACUCAAACAUCAACUUAAAGCUCAAACUACAAAUGAGGAAACAGAAGGAAACCCAGUUAAGUGACUUACCCAAGGUCACAUAGCUGAGCUAUCCCUGAUUACAAAGAACAAGAGGAAAAUUGGGUUCUGUAUCCAUAUUCCCCCACCUCUGCAAAGAAGCAAGGGAAGGUACCUUCUCUGCUUGGAGCUACACUAUAAUUUACCAGCAUUUAAGUUUUGUUAGUUUUUUGCCAGUAUCCUUUCCAUUUAUAUUAUUAUAGUCAUGCAUAUCUUUUGCUGGUUCAGCCUACUUUGAUCAGUUCCCAUAAGUCUUUGCAUGCUAUUUUUAAUUUUCAUAAUCUCUUAAAGUACAAUAAAAGUCCAACACAUUCAUAUAGCA
RNAcentral lists this long non-coding RNA (608 nucleotides) under Monodelphis domestica (gray short-tailed opossum). Its description in RNAcentral is "lncRNA (ENSMODG00000031034.2)". Lineage: Eukaryota; Metazoa; Chordata; Mammalia; Didelphimorphia; Didelphidae. The record is from RNAcentral.